Non-coding RNA from Caenorhabditis elegans, 150 nucleotides. Lineage: Eukaryota; Metazoa; Nematoda; Chromadorea; Rhabditida; Rhabditidae. The record is from Ensembl.
UGAUCUUCGAAAAACGCGGGAGGUGAGACGCAGGCAGUGAUUUCGCAUGGUUAAGAGAGUGCUGACGUCACAGUUUUUUGUGAAAAAAUUCCCGCAUUUUUUGUAGAUCAAGCUGUAUUGAAACAGCCGGACGCCACGUCUUGCCGCUCA